RNAcentral lists this transfer RNA (57 nucleotides) under Ailuropoda melanoleuca (giant panda). It matches the Rfam family "tRNA", at positions 9 to 63 of the family's 71-position model. Rfam says of the family: Transfer RNA (tRNA) molecules are approximately 80 nucleotides in length. Their secondary structure includes four short double-helical elements and three loops (D, anti-codon, and T loops). The record is from Rfam by way of RNAcentral. Lineage: Eukaryota; Metazoa; Chordata; Mammalia; Carnivora; Ursidae.
GACUCAGUGGGUAGAGUGUGAGACUCUUGAUCUCGGGGUUGUGGGUUUGAGUCCCAC